ACCGCUUGAAAACACCGGUUCUCGUUCGAUCACCGAAUGUUAAGCAUCGUAGAGCCAGGUCAGUACUUAGAUGGGGGACCGCUU
Non-coding RNA from Acanthosepion pharaonis, 84 nucleotides. The record is from the annotation of a GenBank genome assembly. Lineage: Eukaryota; Metazoa; Mollusca; Cephalopoda; Sepiida; Sepiidae.